UACGUAGGGUGCAAGCGUUAAUCGGAAUUACUGGGCGUAAAGCGUGCGCAGGCGGUGAUGUAAGACAGAUGUGAAAUCCCCGGGCUCAACCUGGGAACUGCAUUUGUGACUGCAUCGCUGGAGUGCGGCAGAGGGGGAUGGAAUUCCGCGUGUAGCAGUGAAAUGCGUAGAUAUCGUAAGGAAGACCAGUGGCGAAGGCGAAUCUCUGGACAGUUACUGACGCUGAGGCACGAAGGCCAGGGGAGCAAACGGG
This 253-nucleotide ribosomal RNA is filed under the name uncultured bacterium. RNAcentral describes it as "partial 16S ribosomal RNA". It matches the Rfam family "Bacterial small subunit ribosomal RNA", at positions 524 to 776 of the family's 1533-position model. The record is from RNAcentral.